This is a long non-coding RNA of Lepidothrix coronata (blue-crowned manakin), 1929 nucleotides long. RefSeq lists it as uncharacterized. The transcript is spliced from 4 exons. The record is from RefSeq and is a predicted model, not a curated record. NCBI's taxonomy places the organism in Eukaryota, Metazoa, Chordata, Aves, Passeriformes, Pipridae.
GAUUCCUUUCCCCUCAACUGUCAGGAAGGACAGCGCUGAGGCCAUGCUGAGGUGGACAGAGUGGUGCUCCCCAUGCUGCCAGCUCUGCUGCAGUGCGUGUGGCUAAUGCUGAGUACCAGGCAUUGUGUUUUGGUGGAGCUGGGCCAGAAAGGAAGAAAAAACCCCAUAAAAUCAUGGAAUCAUUAAAGUUGUAAAAGGCCUCUAAGAUCUAGUCCAGCUAUUAACCCAGCGCUGCCAAGCCCAUCACUAACCGAUGUCCCCAGCUGCCACAUCCAUGCACUUUUUGAACACUGAUAUGAGGCUCAAGGAACCCCUUGGCCAAGUUACUUCACUCCUGCCUCAGUUUCCUCUCUGCGUGAACUCUCACCGGGUGCCUUCCAGGGGCUGGAGAGCUCCGAACCUGCCACUGCCCAGAGCUGGAAGCACUGCCUGGGGAUGAGCCAUGCUGGGGUGAUGAGCCUGGAGCACAGAGCAAACCCUGUGUCCCUGCACACCCCUUCUGGGAAGGAGGGCAGACUGAGGGGAGCCCUGGUGUUUCCAGAGGAAGUUUUCCCUGCACAGAUCCAGCAAGGCUGCGGCGCUAGCGGUGCUCUGCAUGUUCAUGCAUCUGUGGUGUAAAUUGCCUGCCAGACACCCAGGCAUGGGGCACAGAAAGGCUCUGGAGAGCAGACUGGGAACAGGAAAAUGGAGCCCUGUUUUAACCCUGCUGCCUUUUGCAGAGGCUCCGUUCCGAUGGGAACACCAGCUCCCCUGUGCCCGGAGCAGUGAGUGGGUAACAGCACCCCUUGAGGAGGGGAGGAGGAAGCUGCCAGCUACUCGCCAGGCUACUCACCCCAUGGGAGCAAACUGUUGUGGGUUCUGCUGGGAAAGAAGCACUAAUGGAGCUCCCCCAGAGUCCCAGCACAAAUUUGGUUCCUGGUCUGGAGAGACCAGUGACGUGAUGGCCACUGCCCAUCACCAGGUGCUCCAGAGGAAGCUGUGGGCACCCCAUGUUACUUGAUGGGGAAAAUCUGCAUGCGUCUUUAGGUUUCCUCUGGAGCCAUGAGCAGCACAGGAAUCAGUCACCAGUGGACAAGCACAAACACAGCUGCAAAUGACAACCCUGCUUCUGGGGAAAGCAGAUGGAGAAUGGAGAACACAACUUCAUCUUGAGGGCUUUUCCUUAGGAGAAGCCACUCCAGUGCUUGUGCUCUUGAACUUUUGAGGUGAUUGAAAAUUGCAUUCUUAGAAAUGAGAAGAGGAAUUUAAAAAGUCCGAAGACUACUCAGUUCAAAAUAACUCCUGUUUUUGAGAGCCUGGACUUUGACUUGGGAACCCUUCAAAGCACCACGAGCCAUGUCGUCUGGCUGGAAAAGUGGAUGGUUUAGCCAGGUCAGGCUAUAUCAAACAAGUUCUUGAGCAUGUCAGAGCAACCACACCUCGCAGAACUUGCCUGGCUCUUCAGAUGCAGGAGGUAUUUAUCCCAGCUUUUGCCAGACUUCACAAAAGACUCCUGCAUGCUUCUAUCCUCACGUGCCAUGGCCUGUGUGACUUGAUACCUUAAAACAGUCUCCACUACUGAUGUACCACUGGGCUUCCAACUCGAUGCUUCAGGAACAAAGCUGUCAGCUCAGGCCAAAACUGGUAAUUGGAAAACCGGAAAACCAGAAAGGAAAGGGAUGAACGGGAACCUGAGGCAGGAACUAGAGAAGAGGCAGUGAGGAGAGAGUUGCUGGAUGACGGUAAAGAAAGACAGCAAAAUAGGAACCAAGCAUGGAGGCCUCCAGCCAAGCCACCCCAUGCUUCUCUCAGCCUGUCAGUGUUUGGGUUUCUCUAAACUUAGAAAAUUCCCACAAAAAGAUUUUUUUAUCUUAUCACCAAGGCUUCUAAGUGCAACCCAAACUAAGAGACAUUACAUAGAAUAAAUGCUUAAACAGUAAACCCACAGAA